Molecule: ribosomal RNA, 601 nt
Filed under: uncultured bacterium
Lineage: Bacteria
Description: bacterial SSU rRNA
Rfam family: Bacterial small subunit ribosomal RNA
Source: RNAcentral
UGGAGGUUGUGCCCUUGAGGCGUGGCUUCCGGAGCUAACGCGUUAAGUAGACCGCCUGGGGAGUACGGCCGCAAGGUUAAAACUCAAAUGAAUUGACGGGGGCCCGCACAAGCGGUGGAGCAUGUGGUUUAAUUCGAUGCAACGCGAAGAACCUUACCUGGUCUUGACAUCCACAGAACUUUCCAGAGAUGGAUUGGUGCCUUCGGGAACUGUGAGACAGGUGCUGCAUGGCUGUCGUCAGCUCGUGUUGUGAAAUGUUGGGUUAAGUCCCGCAACGAGCGCAACCCUUAUCCUUUGUUGCCAGCGGUUAGGCCGGGAACUCAAAGGAGACUGCCAGUGAUAAACUGGAGGAAGGUGGGGAUGACGUCAAGUCAUCAUGGCCCUUACGACCAGGGCUACACACGUGCUACAAUGGCGCAUACAAAGAGAAGCGACCUCGCGAGAGCAAGCGGACCUCAUAAAGUGCGUCGUAGUCCGGAUUGGAGUCUGCAACUCGACUCCAUGAAGUCGGAAUCGCUAGUAAUCGUGGAUCAGAAUGCCACGGUGAAUACGUUCCCGGGCCUUGUACACACCGCCCGUCACACCAUGGGAGUGGGUUGCA